Molecule: long non-coding RNA, 582 nt
Filed under: Oryctolagus cuniculus (rabbit)
Lineage: Eukaryota; Metazoa; Chordata; Mammalia; Lagomorpha; Leporidae
Description: lncRNA (ENSOCUG00000034380.1)
Source: RNAcentral
AGGUGCCAUUCUUUUUAUGCCUUACCUCCAGGUGGUUACCACAAAGCGGUCCUGGCAGUGGGCUCGACAACAUCAAUGAGGAGCGUUCUGAAGUGGUGGAAUUCUCCGUGCCCUUUGUGAAGACAGGGAUCAGUGUCAUGGUUUCAAGAAGCAAUGGCACUGUCUUGCCUGCUGCUUUUCUAGACUACACACACGGAGGAGAAAGCAGAAGCUUAGAGAAACACCAAGAAUCCCUCUGUGUUCUGUUCCAGCCUGUCCAAGGUUCUGACACCUCAUAUUUCUUGGUGUCCAGCGUUGUGGCGUUCUUCCUCGGAUGCUGUGUAGAGCCCCAGCGCUGGACUUGGAACAAGGAGGUGAGCUCCAUGAUGAGCAACACCUGCAGGAAGGCUGGGCCGCUGGUGUCUGAGGAGUGGUAGUGGAUUCACCGGGCCUCUGAAUCAGGUUCAUCCAUCCUCGCCUGGUGAGUCUUUUUGAACUCUUUGUGCAUAUCGUGUGAUGGCCCCGAACAUGGGUCAGGGACACUCAGGCCUUCAGGAGCCAGAUGGAAGGAAGAAUAAAUUGUGUAUUACAUUGUAUGCUACA